CCACCACCAAAGCAUUCUCUGGUGUUGAAGGCCCUGCAAAGCAGCAUCGCGGUGGCGGAGCGUCGUUUGCGACGCCCAACACACAAAACAAGCGGUGAAUGCUUUGGGGUGGGGUGACUGCGUACCUUUUGUAUAAUGGGUCAGCGACUUAUAUUCUGUAGCAAGGUUAACCGAAUAGGGGAGCCGGAGGGAAACCGAGUCUUAAUUGGGCGUUAAGUUGCAGGGUAUAGACCCGAAACCCGGUGAUCUAGCCAUGGGCAGGUUGAAGGUUGGGUAACACUAACUGGAGGACCGAACCGACUAAUGUUGAAAAAUUAGCGGAUGACCUGUGGCUGGGGGUGAAAGGCCAAUCAAACCGGGAGAUAGCUGGUUCUCCCCGAAAGCUAUUUAGGUAGCGCCUCGUGAAUUCAUCUCCGGGGGUAGAGCACUGUUUCGGCUAGGGGGCCAUCCCGGCUUACCAACCCGAUGCAAACUGCGAAUACCGGAGAAUGUUAUCACGGGAGACACACGGCGGGUGCUAACGUCCGUCGUGAAGAGGGAAACAACCCAGACCGCCAGCUAAGGUCCCAAAGUCAUGGUUAAGUGGGAAACGAUGUGGGAAGGCCCAGACAGCCAGGAUGUUGGCUUAGAAGCAGCCAUCAUUUAAAGAAAGCGUAAUAGCUCACUGGUCGAGUCGGCCUGCGCGGAAGAUGUAACGGGGCUAAACCAUGCACCGAAGCUGCGGCAGCGAACGUAUCACCCAAGACAACUUUACGGAGUUGACGAUUGACGGAGCGAAGCGACGUCAAAGCGUUCAUUAAAGUCGAGUUGGCUUAGGGAUACGUUCGUUGGGUAGGGGAGCGUUCUGUAAGCCUGUGAAGGUGUGUCGUGAGGCAUGCUGGAGGUAUCAGAAGUGCGAAUGCUGACAUAAGUAACGAUAAAGCGGGUGAAAAGCCCGCUCGCCGGAAGACCAAGGGUUCCUGUCCAACGUUAAUCGGGGCAGGGUGAGUCGACCCCUAAGGCGAGGCCGAAAGGCGUAGUCGAUGGGAAACGGGUUAAUAUUCCCGUACUUGGUGUUACUGCGAAGGGGGGACGGAGAAGGCUAUGUUGGCCGGGCGACGGUUGUCCCGGUUUAAGCGUGUAGGUGUGUGUUCCAGGUAAAUCCGGUUCACUUUAACACUGAGGCGUGACGACGAGGCACUACGGUGCUGAAGCAACAAAUGCCCUGCUUCCAGGAAAAGCCUCUAAGCAUCAGGUAACAUCAAAUCGUACCCCAAACCGACACAGGUGGUCAGGUAGAGAAUACCAAGGCGCUUGAGAGAACUCGGGUGAAGGAACUAGGCAAAAUGGUGCCGUAACUUCGGGAGAAGGCACGCUGACACGUAGGUGAAGUGAUUUACUCAUGGAGCUGAAGUCAGUCGAAGAUACCAGCUGGCUGCAACUGUUUAUUAAAAACACAGCACUGUGCAAACACGAAAGUGGACGUAUACGGUGUGACGCCUGCCCGGUGCCGGAAGGUUAAUUGAUGGGGUCAGCGCAAGCGAAGCUCCUGAUCGAAGCCCCGGUAAACGGCGGCCGUAACUAUAACGGUCCUAAGGUAGCGAAAUUCCUUGUCGGGUAAGUUCCGACCUGCACGAAUGGCGUAAUGAUGGCCAGGCUGUCUCCACCCGAGACUCAGUGAAAUUGAACUCGCUGUGAAGAUGCAGUGUACCCGCGGCAAGACGGAAAGACCCCGUGAACCUUUACUAUAGCUUGACACUGAACAUUGAGCCUUGAUGUGUAGGAUAGGUGGGAGGCUUUGAAGUGUGGACGCCAGUCUGCAUGGAGCCGACCUUGAAAUACCACCCUUUAAUGUUUGAUGUUCUAACGUGGACCCGUAAUCCGGGUUGCGGACAGUGUCUGGUGGGUAGUUUGACUGGGGCGGUCUCCUCCUAAAGAGUAACGGAGGAGCACGAAGGUUGGCUAAUCCUGGUCGGACAUCAGGAGGUUAGUGCAAUGGCAUAAGCCAGCUUGACUGCGAGCGUGACGGCGCGAGCAGGUGCGAAAGCAGGUCAUAGUGAUCCGGUGGUUCUGAAUGGAAGGGCCAUCGCUCAACGGAUAAAAGGUACUCCGGGGAUAACAGGCUGAUACCGCCCAAGAGUUCAUAUCGACGGCGGUGUUUGGCACCUCGAUGUCGGCUCAUCACAUCCUGGGGCUGAAGUAGGUCCCAAGGGUAUGGCUGUUCGCCAUUUAAAGUGGUACGCGAGCUGGGUUUAGAACGUCGUGAGACAGUUCGGUCCCUAUCUGCCGUGGGCGCUGGAGAACUGAGGGGGGCUGCUCCUAGUACGAGAGGACCGGAGUGGACGCAUCACUGGUGUUCGGGUUGUCAUGCCAAUGGCACUGCCCGGUAGCUAAAUGCGGAAGAGAUAAGUGCUGAAAGCAUCUAAGCACGAAACUUGCCCCGAGAUGAGUUCUCCCUGAGACUUAGAGUCUCCUGAAGGAACGUUGAAGACGACGACGUUGAUAGGCCGGGUGUGUAAGCGCAGCGAUGCGUUGAGCUAACCGGUACUAAUGAACCGUGAGGCUUAACCUUACA
This 2554-nucleotide ribosomal RNA is filed under the name Salmonella enterica subsp. enterica serovar Typhimurium. Its description in RNAcentral is "partial 23S ribosomal RNA". It matches the Rfam family "Bacterial large subunit ribosomal RNA". The record is from RNAcentral. Lineage: Bacteria; Pseudomonadati; Pseudomonadota; Gammaproteobacteria; Enterobacterales; Enterobacteriaceae.